AGAGUUUGAUCCUGGCUCAGAACAAACGCUGGCGGCGUGUCUUAAGCAUGCAAGUCGAGCGGCAAGGCGGGGCAACCCGCCCUAGAGCGGCGGACUGGUGAGUAACGCGUGGGUAAUCUGCCUUGGGCAUGGGGAUAGCCACUAGAAAUAGUGGGUAAUACCGAAUACGUUCCACGAGGGGAGGACUUGUGGAAGAAAGGGUGCUACGGCGCCGGCCUAAGAUGAGCUCGCGUUCCAUUAGCUAGUUGGUGAGGUAACGGCUCACCAAGGCGAUGAUGGGUAGCCGGCCUGAGAGGGUGUACGGCCACACUGGGACUGAGAUACGGCCCAGACUCCUACGGGAGGCAGCAGCUAAGAAUAUUCCCGCCAAUGGAACGAAAGGUCUUGACGGAGGCGAACGCCGGCGGUGAAAUGAAUGAAGGCCCCGAAAGGGUUUGUAAAGGUUCUUUUUAACUGGGGAAAGAAUAAGGCCUGGGGAGGGAAUGCCCGGGGUGAUGACAUGAACCGGUGAAUAAGCCCCGCCCAACUACGUGCCAGCAGCCGCGGUAACACGUAGGGGGCGAGCGUUGUUCGGAAUUACUGGGCGUAAAGGGCAUGUAGGCGGUCUGGUAAGCCUGGCGUGAAAGUCUGCAGCUUAACUGCAGGAAUGCGCUGGGAACUGCUGGGCUUGAGUGACGGAGAGGGAGCUGGAAUUCCUGGUGUAGGGGUGAAAUCUGUAGAUAUCAGGAAGAACACCGAUGGCGAAGGCAAGCUCCUGGCCGAUGACUGACGCUGAGGUGCGAAAGUGUGGGGAUCAAACAGGAUUAGAUACCCUGGUAGUCCACACAGUAAACGAUGUGCACUAGGUGCUGGGGCGGUAGCUUCAGUGCCGGAGCGAACGUGGUAAGUGCACCGCCUGGGGAGUAUGCUCGCAAGGGUGAAACUCAAAGGAAUUGACGGGGGCCCGCACAAGCGGUGGAGCAUGUGGUUUAAUUCGAUGGUACGUGAGGAACCUUACCUGGGUUUGACAUACAACGUGAAGUGGCAGCGAUGUCACUGCGCAGCAAUGCGACGUUGUACAGGUGCUGCAUGGGCUUGUCGUCAGCUCGUGCCGUGAGGUGUUGGGUUAAGUCCCGCAACGAGCGCAACCCCUACUGCCAGUUACUAACAGGUGAAGCUGAGGACUCUGGCGGAACUGCCGGUGACAAACCGGAGGAAGGUGGGGAUGACGUCAAGUCAUCAUGGCCCUUAUGUCCAGGGCUACACACGUGCUACAAUGGGCGAGACAGAGCGACGCGAAGCCGCGAGGUGGAGCAAAUCGCAGAAAAUCGCUCUCAGUUCGGAUUGGAGUCUGAAACCCGACUCCAUGAAGGUGGAAUCGCUAGUAAUCGCGCAUCAGCAUGGCGCGGUGAAUACGUUCCCGGGCCUUGUACACACCGCCCGUCACACCAUCCGAGUGGGAGGUACCCGAAGCCGUUAGACCAACCUGUAAAGGGGGUCGACGUCGAAGGUACGUCUUGUGAGGAGGGUGAAGUCGUAACAAGGUAACC
This 1529-nucleotide ribosomal RNA is filed under the name uncultured bacterium. RNAcentral describes it as "bacterial SSU rRNA". It matches the Rfam family "Bacterial small subunit ribosomal RNA". The record is from RNAcentral.